This 497-nucleotide ribosomal RNA is filed under the name uncultured bacterium. RNAcentral's name for it is "partial 16S ribosomal RNA". It matches the Rfam family "Bacterial small subunit ribosomal RNA", at positions 28 to 507 of the family's 1533-position model. The record is from RNAcentral.
GAUGAACGCUGGCGGCGUGCCUAAUACAUGCAAGUCGAGCGAACGGACGAGAAGCUUGCUUCUCUGAUGUUAGCGGCGGACGGGUGAGUAACACGUGGAUAACCUACCUAUAAGACUGGGAUAACUUCGGGAAACCGGAGCUAAUACCGGAUAAUAUUUUGAACCGCAUGGUUCAAAAGUGAAAGACGGUCUUGCUGUCACUUAUAGAUGGAUCCGCGCUGCAUUAGCUAGUUGGUAAGGUAACGGCUUACCAAGGCAACGAUGCAUAGCCGACCUGAGAGGGUGAUGGCCCACACUGGAACUGGGACACGGGCCGGACUCCUACGGGAGGCAGCAGUAGGGAAUCUUCCGCAGUGGGCGGAAGCCUGACGGAGCAGCGCCGAGUGAGUGAUGAAGGUCUUCGGAUCGUAAAGCUCUGUUAUUGGGGAAGAACAUAUGUGUAAGUAACUGUGCACAUCUUGACGGUACCUAGUCAGAAAGCCACGGCUAACUACGUG